This 253-nucleotide ribosomal RNA is filed under the name uncultured bacterium. RNAcentral describes it as "partial 16S ribosomal RNA". It matches the Rfam family "Bacterial small subunit ribosomal RNA", at positions 524 to 776 of the family's 1533-position model. The record is from RNAcentral.
UACGUAGGGAGCAAGCGUUGUUCGGAUUUACUGGGCGUAAAGGGCGCGUAGGCGGCAAAUUAAGUCAGCUGUGAAAUCUCCGAGCUUAACUCGGAACGGUCAGCUGAUACUGAUCUGCUAGAGUGCGGAAGGGGCAAUCGGAAUUCUUGGUGUAGCGGUGAAAUGCGUAGAUAUCAAGAGGAACACCUGAGGUGAAGACGGGUUGCUGGGCCGGCACUGACGCUGAGGCGCGAAAGCCAGGGGAGCAAACGGG